This 70-nucleotide transfer RNA is filed under the name Rhipicephalus sanguineus (brown dog tick). RNAcentral's name for it is "transfer RNA arginine (anticodon GCG)". It matches the Rfam family "tRNA". From Rfam's summary of the family: Transfer RNA (tRNA) molecules are approximately 80 nucleotides in length. Their secondary structure includes four short double-helical elements and three loops (D, anti-codon, and T loops). The record is from Rfam by way of RNAcentral. Lineage: Eukaryota; Metazoa; Arthropoda; Arachnida; Ixodida; Ixodidae.
GCCGCCGUAGCUCAGUGAUAGAGCAUCGGACGCGAUUCGAAGGUCGCAGGUUCGGUCCCUGCCGGCGGCA